GACAGAGGUGCCGAGCGUUUAGGCGGAAUCACUGGGCUUAAAGCGUGUGUAGGCGGCCCGUUAAGUGUCUUGUGAAAUCCCCCGGCUCAACCGGGGAACUGCUGGGCAUGACUGGCGGGCUUGGGUCGGCUCAGGGGCAGACGGAACGAGGCGGUGGAGCGGUGAAAUGCGUAGAUAUCGCCUGGAACGCCGAAGGUGAAAA
Molecule: ribosomal RNA, 202 nt
Filed under: uncultured bacterium
Lineage: Bacteria
Description: partial 16S ribosomal RNA
Rfam family: Bacterial small subunit ribosomal RNA
Source: RNAcentral